UACGUAGGGGGCUAGCGUUGUCCGGAUUUAUUGGGCGUAAAGAGCGUGUAGGCGGCCAGGUAGGUCCGUUGUGAAAACUCGAGGCUCAACCUCGAGACGUCGGCGGAAACCCUCUGGCUAGAGUCCGGAAGAGGAGAGUGGAAUUCCUGGUGUAGCGGUGAAAUGCGCAGAUAUCAGGAAGAACACCGGUGGCGAAGGCGGGUCUCUGGGCCGAUACUGACGCUGAGGAGCGAAAGCGUGGGGAGCGAACAGG
This 253-nucleotide ribosomal RNA is filed under the name uncultured bacterium. RNAcentral describes it as "partial 16S ribosomal RNA". It matches the Rfam family "Bacterial small subunit ribosomal RNA", at positions 524 to 776 of the family's 1533-position model. The record is from RNAcentral.